AGUGAACGCUGGCGGCAGGCCUAACACAUGCAAGUCGAACGGCAGCACAGUAAUAGUUUGCUCUUAAGGGUGUUGAGUGGCGUACGGGUGAGCAAUACAUUAGCAUCUACUUUUUCUUGCGGGCACACGUCGGGAACCUUACGCUAAUACCGCAUACGCCCUAUGGGUGCAAGUCGGCACACUUUGGAACUUGCGCGAUUGAAUGAGCCGAUGUCGGAUUAGCUACUUGGCGGGGUAAAGGCCCACCAAGGCGACGAUCCGUAGCUGAUCUGUGAGGAUCAGAAGCCACACUGGAACUGGGGAGCGGGCCAGACCACUGCGGGAGGCAGCAGGGGGGAAUAUUGGACAAUGGGCGCAAUCCUGAUCCAUCCAUACCGCGUGGGUGAAGGAGGCCUUCGGGUUGUAAAACCCUUUUGUUGGGAAAGAUAAGCAGCAGGUUAAUACCCCGCGGUUAUGACGGUACCGAAAGAAUAAGCACCGGCUAACUACGUG
RNAcentral lists this ribosomal RNA (492 nucleotides) under uncultured bacterium. Its description in RNAcentral is "partial 16S ribosomal RNA". It matches the Rfam family "Bacterial small subunit ribosomal RNA", at positions 29 to 507 of the family's 1533-position model. The record is from RNAcentral.